Molecule: ribosomal RNA, 1346 nt
Filed under: uncultured bacterium
Lineage: Bacteria
Description: partial 16S ribosomal RNA
Rfam family: Bacterial small subunit ribosomal RNA
Source: RNAcentral
GACGAACGCUGGCGGCGUGCUUAACACAUGCAAGUCGAACGGAAAGGCCCUGCUUUUGUGGGGUGCUCGAGUGGCGAACGGGUGAGUAACACGUGAGUAACCUGCCCUUGACUUUGGGAUAACUUCAGGAAACUGGGGCUAAUACCGGAUAGGGGCUCCUGCUGCAUGGUGGGGGUUGGAAAGUUUCGGCGGUUGGGGAUGGACUCGCGGCUUAUCAGCUUGUUGGUGGGGUAGUGGCUUACCAAGGCUUUGACGGGUAGCCGGCCUGAGAGGGUGACCGGCCACAUUGGGACUGAGAUACGGCCCAGACUCCUACGGGAGGCAGCAGUGGGGAAUAUUGCACAAUGGGCGGAAGCCUGAUGCAGCAACGCCGCGUGCGGGAUGACGGCCUUCGGGUUGUAAACCGCUUUCGCCUGUGACGAAGCGUGAGUGACAGUAAUGGGUAAAGAAGCACCGGCUAACUACGUGCUAGCAGCCGCGGUGAUACGUAGGGUGCGAGCGUUGUCCGGAUUUAUUGGGCGUAAAGGGCUCGUAGGUGGUUGAUCGCGUCGGAAGUGUAAUCUUGGGGCUUAACCCUGAGCGUGCUUUCGAUACGGGUUGACUUGAGGAAGGUAGGGGAGAAUGGAAUUCCUGGUGGAGCGGUGGAAUGCGCAGAUAUCAGGAGGAACACCAGUGGCGAAGGCGGUUCUCUGGGCCUUUCCUGACGCUGAGGAGCGAAAGCGUGGGGAGCGAACAGGCUUAGAUACCCUGGUAGUCCACGCUGUAAACGGUGGGUACUAGGUGUGGGGUCCAUUCCACGGGUUCCGUGCCGUAGCUAACGCUUUAAGUACCCCGCCUGGGGAGUACGGCCGCAAGGCUAAAACUCAAAGGAAUUGACGGGGCCCCGCACAAGCGGCGGAGCAUGCGGAUUAAUUCGAUGCAACGCGUAGAACCUUACCUGGGUUUGACAUGGAUCGGGAGUGCUCAGAGAUGGGUGUGCCUCUUUUGGGGUCGGUUCACAGGUGGUGCAUGGCUGUCGUCAGCUCGUGUCGUGAGAUGUUGGGUUAAGUCCCGCAACGAGCGCAACCCUUGUUCACUGUUGCCAGCACGUUAUGGUGGGGACUCAGUGGAGACCGCCGGGGUCAACUCGGAGGAAGGUGGGGAUGACGUCAAGUCAUCAUGCCCCUUAUGCCCAGGGCUUCACGCAUGCUACAAUGGCUGGUACAGAGAGUGGCGAGCCUGUGAGGGUGAGCGAAUCUCGGAAAGCCGGUCUCAGUUCGGAUUGGGGUCUGCAACUCGACCUCAUGAAGUCAGAGUCGCUAGUAAUCGCAGGUCAGCAACGCUGCGGUGAAUACGUUCCCGGGGCU